This 736-nucleotide ribosomal RNA is filed under the name uncultured bacterium. RNAcentral's name for it is "bacterial SSU rRNA". It matches the Rfam family "Bacterial small subunit ribosomal RNA", at positions 57 to 795 of the family's 1533-position model. The record is from RNAcentral.
GCAGUCGAGGGGUAUAGGUUUUCGGACCUAGAGACCGGCGCACGGGUGCGUAACGCGUAUGCAAUCUACCUUUUACAGAGGGAUAGCCCAGAGAAAUUUGGAUUAAUACCUCAUAGUAUUAUUGAAUGGCAUCAUUUAAUAAUUAAAGUCACAACGGUAAAAGAUGAGCAUGCGUCCCAUUAGCUUGUUGGUAAGGUAACGGCUUACCAAGGCAACGAUGGGUAGGGGUCCUGAGAGGGAGAUCCCCCACACUGGCACUGAGACACGGACCAGACUCCUACGGGAGGCAGCAGUGAGGAAUAUUGGUCAAUGGGCGCAAGCCUGAACCAGCCAUGCCGCGUGCAGGAUGACGGUCCUAUGGAUUGUAAACUGCUUUUGUACAGGAAGAAACAGUUCUACGUGUAGAACCUUGACGGUACUGUAAGAAUAAGGAUCGGCUAACUCCGUGCCAGCAGCCGCGGUAAUACGGAGGAUCCAAGCGUUAUCCGGAAUCAUUGGGUUUAAAGGGUCCGUAAGCGGUUUUGUAAGUCAGUGGUGAAAGCCCAUCGCUCAACGGUGGAACGGCCAUUGAUACUGCAAGACUUGAAUUAUUAGGAAGUAACUAGAAUAUGUAGUGUAGCGGUGAAAUGCUUAGAUAUUACAUGGAAUACCAAUUGCGAAGGCAGGUUACUACUAAUAUAUUGACGCUGAUGGACGAAAGCGUGGGGAGCGAACAGGAUUAGAUACCCUGGUAGUC